CCUACGGGUGGCAGCAGUGAGGAAUAUUGGUCAAUGGGCGAUAGCCUGAACCAGCCAAGUAGCGUGAAGGAUGACUGCCCUAUGGGUUGUAAACUUCUUUUAUCUGGGAAUAAAGUGCAGUAUGUAUACUGCUUUGCAUGUACCUUAUGAAUAAGGAUCGGCUAACUCCGUGCCAGCAGCCGCGGUAAUACGGAGGAUUCGAGCGUUAUCCGGAUUUAUUGGGUUUAAAGGGAGCGUAGGCGGGUUGUUAAGUCAGUUGUGAAAGUUUGGGGCUCAACCGUAAAAUUGCAGUUGAUACUGGCAGCCUUGAGUACAGGAGAGGUAUGCGGAAUUCGUGGUGUAGCGGUGAAAUGCUUAGAUAUCACGAAGAACUCCGAUUGCGAAGGCAGCCUGCUGGACUGUAACUGACGCUGAUGCUCGAAAGUGUGGGUAUCAAACAGGAUUAGAUACCCCAGUAGUC
This 460-nucleotide ribosomal RNA is filed under the name uncultured bacterium. Its description in RNAcentral is "partial 16S ribosomal RNA". It matches the Rfam family "Bacterial small subunit ribosomal RNA", at positions 338 to 795 of the family's 1533-position model. The record is from RNAcentral.